RNAcentral lists this long non-coding RNA (2501 nucleotides) under Homo sapiens (human). Its description in RNAcentral is "HSALNT0341626". Lineage: Eukaryota; Metazoa; Chordata; Mammalia; Primates; Hominidae. The record is from RNAcentral.
UUGCUGGGUUGUACAGAUCAGGGUGAAGGGUAAAAGAGAUCUGAAAAUUCCCUGGCUAGCUGAACUGAUUCACAUUGGCUAAGACAAACUGUUAACUGUUACCUAAAGAAGAGAACAAACGAGAGAAGAGAAAACGCAAAGAGCCUGCAUGGCUUGGGUUUGAGGAAAAGUUUGGACAACUUUUGAGAGAGAGGAAGAGUGAUUUUGAACCACACAGCUGGACUGGGUGAGUGUAGUUUAUGGAAAAUAGAUGAGAGAAGAGGAUUCCUAGUAAGUUUUGGGAUGUGGAUGCAAUGUGAACAUAAAAGAUUGCCUUCUUAUGGAAACUGCAGCUAAGUACAGAGCUGCAAUGUAUCCAGGAGUCCUCACACUUCUUUGCAGCUGGGGGUGCCCAUAUGAGCUAAGACAAGCCAAUGAAAUGUAAGUGGAAGUCUGUGAGGAGGGGUCCUGGGAAAGUGGCUGUUUUCCUGUUAAAAGGAGCUGGCCAAGCCAGCAAUCAUUUAUGUCUUUUGCUCGUUGCCCUUCCUCCUCCUUUUGCCAGUUUAUGCUUAAGGUGGAAUAGCCAUUUUCUGACCAUGGAGAAACAAUGUACACACUAAGGUUGACUGAAAGGGGAGCUAAAAGGAUCCUAGACUUUUCAUUAUGUGAAAUAACCGGUUGUGCCUACCUGUGCUCUUUUUAUUAAGUGAGUAAAACAACUCCCUAUUUAGCAAAAUCAUUAUAGUUGAGUUUCUAUUACUCAUUGAGGCCAAAUUGCAAACCUAACCUAAUAGGUGUUUCUCUUGAAAGGAAACCUUCCCAAGGUAAUCUGGAAAAUAGGCUGGAGUUAGACUGAAGUCUCCAUUAAUGUGGGAGGAAAAUAACUAUCAAGUAUCAAAGUUCUAACUACAUGGUCUGGAGUUACUUGAGAUAUUUUCCAUUUCUUUUGAGCCCCAAACUGCAUAUAUCAGGUUUUGUAAGCUUAUGAUAGUUCUUUUAGUUUUUAUAGUGUAGCAUUUCACAUUUAAAAAUGUAUUUAUUGUGAUUGUGACCAAACAACAGAAAUGUGUAAAGUAAAAAAAAAAAAAAAAUCUGCUUCCUACCUCUGCUGCUUCAAGUACUACUCCCCAGGAGUCACUAUUAAUAGUUUUGGUGUCUGUUCUUCCAGGCAUUUUCAAUGCAUGAAUAAUCAUCGGUAACUUUCAUAAAAGUUAAGAAAUUAGACAUUACUUGUUGCUGUAAAUAUCCCAAUUAUUUGAUAUCAGUGAACCUCAGCUUAACACUUUGAUAUUUUUCUAAAGCAUUCCAACCUUUCAUGAGGCUUGUACCUUGAGUUUCUGGGAGAGUCUCUAUGUACAAGUCAAACGCCAUAGGAGAAUCAAACAACUGUCUCUGGGGGGAAAUACAUUCUGAAGAAUAGCUAGAGCUCUUCAUGUUUACCUUUUAUCUCUUUUAGUUUUGGAUUGCAUGCAAGUCUGAAAAAAUGUUCACUUGGGCUGGGAGUGCCUGGCCUGACCCACUCCUGUUUUCAAGUACUGCCAGCUGUGGGCAGUGGCUGGGCUAAUUAUAAAUCACAGGGUCAAAGAGGAAGUUAGUCUCUCACUGAAACUGUACUAGAACAAAACCAGAUUUUUCUUAAAAUCAACAAAGGAAAAGGAUUCUAAUACACUUUAAUUUCUGUUAGUUUUAUAUUCUAUGGGUGCUUAGUUUUAUAUUCAAUGGGUGCUAUUUUGUGGACUUAAUAGCUAGUAGUGUCAUAAUAUAAAUAGCUUUUAUAAUAUUUGUUAAAAUCUGAACAACUUGUGCGCAUUCCACUGCAAACUCCUCUUCGGUCAAAGGCCAUGCCUCACAUAUUUUGUGUCCAGUCAGAUCAAACUACAGUGACAAGCCUCACCAUCACAGACAGCUUCCAAUUAGAUUUAUAGCAGCCCAUGCUUAAAUAUAAGCAGAUAGCCAAGAAUUACCAUAUAUUGGAGGAAAGUUUCUAAAAAGAAAGAGACAAAAACAAAAAAAGAAAAAUACAGAAAAAACACGGAGAAAAAGUCUUAUUUAGGAAAAGAAGAAGAAAAAGAAACCAUCAUUAAUAGCCUCAAUGAGAUAAGAGAUUAAAGAUACUAUGAAAAAGAAACAUCCAGAGAACAAAGAGAGCACAAGGAAAUAUAAAGUAUGAUAGCAUAAUGAAAGAGUAGAAGGGUUGAAAGGAAAACUUGAGGAAAUUUCUCUUUUAGCAAGUCAAAUGACAAAAAAGAAAGGAAAAUAAAAGAAAAAAGAAAAUUAGAGGACUGUUUUAGAAGGUCCAACAUCUGCGUAAAAGGAAUCCAAGACAGAAUAGAGAAAAUCAAAUGGACAAAAUUAAAUAAUCCAAGACAAAGUAUCAGAACUUUGGAAGGACAUAUACUUCCAUAGACAGAGAACCCAUUCAGUGCCCCACACGAUGGAUACAAUGGGAACAUCAUUGUAAAAUGUAAAAAUUCUGGAGGCAAGUAAGAGAUCCUACAAAUUUCCCAGCAUGGAAAAAAAAA